UAGGGAAUCUUCCGCAAUGGGCGAAAGCUUGACGGAGCAACGCCGCGUGAGUGAUGAAGGUCUUCGGAUCGUAAAACUCUGUUAUUAGGGAAGAACAAAUGUGUAAGUAACUAUGCACGUCUUGACGGUACCUAAUCAGAAAGCCACGGCUAACUACGUGCCAGCAGCCGCGGUAAUACGUAGGUGGCAAGCGUUAUCCGGAAUUAUUGGGCGUAAAGCGCGCGUAGGCGGUUUUUUAAGUCUGAUGUGAAAGCCCACGGCUCAACCGUGGAGGGUCAUUGGAAACUGGAAAACUUGAGUGCAGAAGAGGAAAGUGGAAUUCCAUAUGUAGCGAUGAAAUGCGCAGAGAUAUGGAGGAACACCAGUGGCGAAGGCGACUUUCUGGUCUGUAACUGACGCUGAUGUGCGAAAGCGUGGGGAUCAAACAGG
This 429-nucleotide ribosomal RNA is filed under the name Bacteroidota bacterium. Its description in RNAcentral is "Bacteroidetes bacterium partial 16S ribosomal RNA". It matches the Rfam family "Bacterial small subunit ribosomal RNA", at positions 355 to 776 of the family's 1533-position model. Lineage: Bacteria; Pseudomonadati; Bacteroidota. The record is from RNAcentral.